GAUCAUGGCUCAGGACGAACGCUGGCGGUAUGCUUAACACAUGCAAGUCGAACGAGACGAGAUGGAAGGAUCCUUCGGGUGACGGAAAUCUUAGAAAGUGGCGAACGGGUGAGUAACGCGUGGGUAACCUGCCCUAUGGAAAGGAAUAGCCUCGGGAAACUGGGAGUAAUGCCUUAUAAUACAUUGAAGUCGCAUGGCUUUGAUGUUAAACGCUCCGGUGCCAUAGGAUGGACCCGCGUCCCAUUAGCUAGUUGGUGAGAUAACAGCCCACCAAGGCGACGAUGGGUAACCGGUCUGAGAGGGCGAACGGUCACACUGGAACUGAGACACGGUCCAGACUCCUACGGGAGGCAGCAGUGGGGAAUAUUGCGCAAAUGGGGGCAACCCUGACGCAGCAAUACCGCGUGAGUGAAGAAGGUUUUCGGAUCGUAAAGCUCUGUUAUUGGGGAAGAAAAAAGACGGUACCCAAGAAGAAAGUCCCGGCUAACUACGUGCCAGCCGCCGC
RNAcentral lists this ribosomal RNA (505 nucleotides) under uncultured bacterium. RNAcentral describes it as "bacterial SSU rRNA". It matches the Rfam family "Bacterial small subunit ribosomal RNA", at positions 15 to 518 of the family's 1533-position model. The record is from RNAcentral.